This 433-nucleotide ribosomal RNA is filed under the name uncultured bacterium. RNAcentral's name for it is "partial 16S ribosomal RNA". It matches the Rfam family "Bacterial small subunit ribosomal RNA", at positions 29 to 507 of the family's 1533-position model. The record is from RNAcentral.
AACGAACGCUGGCGGCAUGCCUAACACAUGCAAGUCGAACGAGACCUUCGGGUCUAGUGGCGCACGGGUGCGUAACGCGUGGGAACCUGCCCUUAGGUUCGGAAUAACUCCCCGAAAGGGGUGCUAAUACCGGAUAAUGUCUUCGGACCAAAGAUUUAUCGCCUUUGGAUGGGCCCGCGUUGGAUUAGCUAGUUGGUAGGGUAAAAGCCUACCAAGGCGACGAUCCAUAGCUGGUCUGAGAGGAUGAUCAGCCACACUGGGACUGAGACACGGCCCAGACUCCUACGGGAGGCGGCAGUGGGGAAUAUUGGACAAUGGGCGAAAGCCUGAUCCAGCAAUGCCGCGUGAGUGAUGAAGGCCUGAGGGUUGUAAAGCUCUUUUACCCGGGAUGAUAAUGACAGUACCGGGAGAAUAAGCUCCGGCUAACUCCGUG